CCAGGUGAAACAACGCUGUUAAAUGGCUAAUCGAAGUAUAGGUAAAAGUUUUCGAUCGUUUACAGAACAAUAACUGGCAUGAGAAUGCUUCAGGCGCCGUUGCCGUUGCCUGUUCUGCCUGAUGUGACCCACGUUCGAGUGGUACUAGUUAUUCGAGGCCUAGUUAUUGAGAGGAAACUGAACCAAUGUUACGCUUCUUAGCGCGGUACACGUGCAUUUCGAACAGUAUCAUCCACAUCGUAUCGCCGAUACUGGCGAUAUACGGAGAGAUUCGGCAAAUCGUCGCGGCGGGAGCGUAGUCGCUAUUACGGUGACGUUCGUAUCUUAGCUUGGCUCAAACUGUUAUCCACUCAGCCCACCCGCAGAUCACAAACCCACGUUUGACGCCGAGGAGUGGCAAAUGGGAACGUAACCGAACAACAAAAUGAAUAUCGUGCACUUAGUUUGUCGAUCUGUCCAGUGGACCGCUUGUACAUGACGCCGCUGCAGUGUGACUGAGUCAGAGUUUCAUGGUACGAUUUAAACUGUAACGUCAAAACUCCUUUGGUACUCGAGAGAAGCUCGAGGGUAUGGCGAGUCGAGGUUGAGGACUUGGUUAUCCAAGAAGAAAGGGAAGGAAAGCGGCUCCCGAAGUCGCUGGGAAGCUGAACGAAAGGAGGACACCAUGCCAGUCCGCUGCGGAGCGAGCCACACAUGGGGUGUUCUUCUAUAAGGCCGACGUGGCGGGAUACAAACCGCGAAGUUGGUAAGCACGUCACGUCGCCAUCCCUCUUGCCCCGUCCAAGCCGAACAGGGGCUGCCGGGGAGGACGCUUCCCGGACAUUGCCUCGUCUUCAUGACUUGGUCAAGCUUUUCGAGCCAAGAAACGAAGCCUGGUUUCAUCCGACACUAAGCGAAUCAGCCCCAUACGGACGUUCGAACGAGUUCAGCCUUGGAAGAACUCGCUAGCGGAAAGGAACUACAGUUUCUGCUGCGAUCAGUACUGAUGUCGCUGGCAGUUAUGUGCGGCUUUUGCAGCUGUCUCAUGCUAUGAUAUGUGUUAGCUUCUAUUUCGACCGAGGCUUGCUCAGAGAACUUGUCAUGUCGUGCCGUGUUUGCUGUCUACGAAAUGGUUGUGAUGUGGUAGGCUUGUCAAAAUUUUAGCUAAUAAA
Varroa destructor (honeybee mite) is the source of this 1151-nucleotide long non-coding RNA. Lineage: Eukaryota; Metazoa; Arthropoda; Arachnida; Mesostigmata; Varroidae. The record is from RefSeq and is a predicted model, not a curated record.